CAGUACAGAGCGGUCAGUCACAGUCACUGGAUUCGCCCAGUCCACAGAUGAAUGACAAUGCCUUCUCAAAAAAGAAGGCAGAGACAGAGAGAGAAAGAGAAGAGAAGCUGCUAAAGGCAGUGGAACCUUGUAUAGCUGGUUUCAGACCUCCAGCAAGCCAGCAGGAUGAGGCAGAGGGAGACUCAGAGAGUGAGGGAGAGUCCACUGAUCAUCAGCCAGAGCAGGCAGUUACAGGUAAGAUAACUGUUUGACCAUCAC
Hemibagrus wyckioides is the source of this 258-nucleotide long non-coding RNA. RefSeq lists it as uncharacterized. The record is from RefSeq and is a predicted model, not a curated record. The transcript has 3 exons. Lineage: Eukaryota; Metazoa; Chordata; Actinopteri; Siluriformes; Bagridae.